GAAGUAGUAUUAGGGGUUGGUAAUUAAGGGUCACGGUAGGAUUAGUUUUAGGGGUAGGUAUAUUAGGGGUUGGAGUAGUAUUAGGGGUUGGUAAUUAAGGGUCACGGUAGGAUUAGUUUUAGGGGUAGGUAAUUAGGGGUUGGAGUAGUAUUAGGGGUUGGUAAUUAAGGGUCACGGUAGGAUUAGUUUUAGGGGUAGGUAAUUAGGGGUUGGAGUAGUAUUAGGGGUUGGUAAUUAAGGGUCACGGUAGGAUUAGUUUUAGGGGUAGGUAAUUAGGGGUUGGAGUAGUAUUAGGGGUUGGUAAUUAAGGGUCACGGUAGGAUUAGUUUUAGGGGUAGGUAAUUAGGGGUUGGAGUAGUAUUAGGGGUUGGUAAUUAAGGGUCACGGUAGGAUUAGUUUUAGGGGUAGGUAAUUAGGGGUUGGAGUAGUAUUAGGGGUUGGUAAUUAAGGGUCACGGUAGGAUUAGUUUUAGGGGUAGGUAAUUAGGGGUUGGAGUAGUAUUAGGGGUUGGUAAUUAAGGGUCACGGUAGGAUUAGUUUUAGGGGUAGGUAAUUAGGGGUUGGAGUAGUAUUAGGGGUUGGUAAUUAAGGGUCACGGUAGGAUUAGUUUUAGGGGUAGGUAAUUAGGGGUUGGAGUAGUAUUAGGGGUUGGUAAUUAAGGGUCACGGUAGGAUUAGUUUUAGGGGUAGGUAAUUAGGGGUUGGAGUAGUAUUAGGGGUUGGUAAUUAAGGGUCACGGUAGGAUUAGUUUUAGGGGUAGGUAAUUAGGGGUUGGAGUAGUAUUAGGGGUUGGUAAUUAAGGGUCACGGUAGGAUUAGUUUUAGGGGUAGGUAAUUAGGGGUUGGAGUAGUAUUAGGGGUUGGUAAUUAAGGGUCACGGUAGGAUUAGUUUUAGGGGUAGGUAAUUAGGGGUUGGAGUAGUAUUAGGGGUUGGUAAUUAAGGGUCACGGUAGGAUUAGUUUUAGGGGUAGGUAAUUAGGGGUUGGAGUAGUAUUAGGGGUUGGUAAUUAAGGGUCACGGUAGGAUUAGUUUUAGGGGUAGGUAAUUAGGGGUUGGAGUAGUAUUAGGGGUUGGUAAUUAAGGGUCACGGUAGGAUUAGUUUUAGGGGUAGGUAAUUAGGGGUUGGAGUAGUAUUAGGGGUUGGUAAUUAAGGGUCACGGUAGGAUUAGUUUUAGGGGUAGGUAAUUAGGGGUUGGAGUAGUAUUAGGGGUUGGUAAUUAAGGGUCACGGUAGGAUUAGUUUUAGGGGUAGGUAAUUAGGGGUUGGAGUAGUAUUAGGGGUUGGUAAUUAAGGGUCACGGUAGGAUUAGUUUUAGGGGUAGGUAAUUAGGGGUUGGAGUAGUAUUAGGGGUUGGUAAUUAAGGGUCACGGUAGGAUUAGUUUUAGGGGUAGGUAAUUAGGGGUUGGAGUAGUAUUAGGGGUUGGUAAUUAAGGGUCACGGUAGGAUUAGUUUUAGGGGUAGGUAAUUAGGGGUUGAAGUAGUAUUAGGGGUUGGUAAUUAAGGGUCACGGUAGGAUUAGUUUUAGGGGUAGGUAUA
Long non-coding RNA from Oncorhynchus keta (chum salmon), 1533 nucleotides. RefSeq lists it as uncharacterized. The transcript is spliced from 7 exons. NCBI's taxonomy places the organism in Eukaryota, Metazoa, Chordata, Actinopteri, Salmoniformes, Salmonidae. The record is from RefSeq and is a predicted model, not a curated record.